CUCUCCAUCAAGAGCAUGGAGA
This 22-nucleotide small nuclear RNA is filed under the name Arabidopsis thaliana (thale cress). RNAcentral describes it as "snRNA_17301". The record is from RNAcentral. Lineage: Eukaryota; Viridiplantae; Streptophyta; Magnoliopsida; Brassicales; Brassicaceae.